RNAcentral lists this ribosomal RNA (469 nucleotides) under uncultured bacterium. Its description in RNAcentral is "partial 16S ribosomal RNA". It matches the Rfam family "Bacterial small subunit ribosomal RNA", at positions 28 to 507 of the family's 1533-position model. The record is from RNAcentral.
GACGAACGCUGGCGGCGUGCUUAACACAUGCAAGUCGAACGAUGAAGCGCCAGCUUGCUGGUGUGGAUUAGUGGCGAACGGGUGAGUAACACGUGAGUAACCUGCCCCCUACUCUGGGAUAAGCCUGGGAAACUGGGUCUAAUACUGGAUAUGACCAAUCACUGCAUGGUGUGUUGGUGGAAAGAUGUUUUGGUGGGGGAUGGACUCGCGGCCUAUCAGCUUGUUGGUGGGGUAAUGGCCUACCAAGGCGACGACGGGUAGCCGGCCUGAGAGGGCGACCGGCCACACUGGGACUGAGACACGGCCCAGACUCCUACGGGAGGCAGCAGUGGGGAAUAUUGCACAAUGGGCGAAAGCCUGAUGCAGCGACGCCGCGUGAGGGAUGACGGCCUUCGGGUUGUAAACCUCUUUCACCAGGGACGAAGCUAACGUGACGGUACCUGGAGAAGAAGCACCGGCUAACUACGUG